AGGGCAAGUGAAGCUGAGGGCUUAUAUGCCCUCAGUGACACCCACCAAGGGACUUUCUGUGAUGAGACUUGAUCCUGGGUAGACUGAGCAGAUGUCAGGUCCUAGCCAUGGAUGUGGCAUGGAAUGAGCGUUUGUCUCAAAUGCUCCAAAGUCCUGCAAUGUAUGUGGUUCUGUAGCCAGAGAAACCAAGAACAAAAUAGUCCUCAGUGCUGCCGUGGUGGGGGUGUGAGAGGGUAGGCCUGGUUUGAAGAGGAUGUGGUCCAUUUCUCCAGAUUCCUGGAGCCAGUGACAUCCUGUGAAAGCCCAGAAUUCACCAAGUUUGUCAGUGACCACAAGAUUAAUUCCACCCCACAGCAUCUGAAGAAUAAGAUCCCUGGCUUCAGCAAGGGAUACCGAGCACUACGGCGUGUGAUGUCACGGACACACUCGAUAUGUGCCUUGGGGAUCUUCAGUGGCCCCGCUAUACAUUCCAAGGCUUCCCCUGUGCGCAGAAUGCUCUAGCCUCCCUGUAGAUUUAAUUAGUCAGAAGAGCAAAGGAAGCAAUAAGACAGCUGCCGCAGAGGCACCUCCAAACCAAACACAGUGGCUCCACUGACAAGAGACACUCAUUCGCCCAGAGCCUGUGAAGAUCCUUCAGCAAAUCAUCUCUAGCUGGAGCAACAUGCCCCAAGUGGGACCUGGACUUCCCCACAAGCACCGCUGCAGGUGUCCCACUGUAGCAUCCUGUCCCUCUGACUUUCCUGUAGAUGUUCCAGGGAUGCCAUAGCAAGGAUGCACAGCCCAGAGUAGAACAAACUCAUUGCUCACUGAUGUGGAACCCAAAUGUCUGAGUUGGAAACGUUGUUUGCAUCAAGACUCUGAGAAGAAACCUACUCUAGGCCACUUUCUGUGGUUUGUGGGUGGCCAUUCUCCUACUUCUCUCACCCACAUGACCCUUGUCUGACGGAAAUCAUCUAAGUGAAGAAUUCUUUCCUGUCGAGUCACUCGAAGGGUUCAGUCUAUGGUCACUUGGUGACUCCCACUCCUGUUGUGGAGGAGAACAUCGUGGAAGCUGAAAUGUGUGUGUGUCGGGGGUGGGGGGAGUUUCAUGGCAUACAGCCAAAGCUAGAAGUAUGUGAAGAGGCCACGGUAAGCCACGGCCUCCAGGAGUGUGCUCCUAGAUGGUCCAUACAACUGGGCCUCUCACUAAUGCUAUCAUCAGGAAUCCUUCAAUGCAUUAAGCCAUUCACUGAGCAGAGCCCUCAGGAUCUGGUCAGUCCUUGAGAUGCCCUCACAAACACACUAGAGACAUGGCUGGAUGCUUUGUCCUCUCCAUCUCUCAUUGGCAUUGUAAUUUGUGGUGAGGUCUCACUCUGUAACUCAUGCUGGUCUAGAUAGGCAGCUUAGGGCAGCUUUGAGCUUUCAACCAAUCCUCCUGCCUCAGCCUCCUGAGAUCUAAAGUGUAAGCUGCCAUGCCUGGCUCUCAGGUCCUCCUUAGUUCAGUCAAGUUGCCAGUUAAGAGCAUUCACCUUUUCUCUGUGUCUUUUUACACUGUCUUCUCUCCAUGUAUGUUUGCCUGUGUCCAAAAGUCCCCUUCUCAUGAGAACUGAGGUCCUAUUGAAUUAGAUAAGACCUUGCCCUGAUGACUUUCUUAUAACUGGAUUACUGUAAGUGGAUUACAUAGACCCUACUUCCAAAUAAAGCCACACUUAAAAUAUA
Mastomys coucha (southern multimammate mouse) is the source of this 1698-nucleotide long non-coding RNA. RefSeq lists it as uncharacterized. The transcript is spliced from 2 exons. NCBI's taxonomy places the organism in Eukaryota, Metazoa, Chordata, Mammalia, Rodentia, Muridae. The record is from RefSeq and is a predicted model, not a curated record.